GCACUGACGAAGAGUCCCAUACUAGGACGAAACAGCUUUCCAGUGC
Schistosoma mattheei is the source of this 46-nucleotide non-coding RNA. The record is from Rfam. NCBI's taxonomy places the organism in Eukaryota, Metazoa, Platyhelminthes, Trematoda, Strigeidida, Schistosomatidae.